RNAcentral lists this ribosomal RNA (254 nucleotides) under uncultured bacterium. RNAcentral describes it as "partial 16S ribosomal RNA". It matches the Rfam family "Bacterial small subunit ribosomal RNA", at positions 524 to 776 of the family's 1533-position model. The record is from RNAcentral.
UACAGAGGGCGCGAGCGUUGUCCGGAAUCACUGGGCGUAAAGGGCGCGUAGGUGGCCACCAUAAGGCCGCGGUGAAAGUUCGGGGCUCAACCCCGAAUCGGCCGCGGCGACUGUGGGGCUCGGGUACUGUAGAGGCAGAUGGAAUUCCGGGUGUAGCGGUGGAAUGCGUAGAGAUCCGGAAGAACACCAGUGGCGAAGGCGACUCUUUGGCCUGUAACUGACACUGAGGCGCGAAAGCGUGGGGAGCAAACAGG